Non-coding RNA from Vicia faba (fava bean), 297 nucleotides. The record is from the annotation of a GenBank genome assembly. Lineage: Eukaryota; Viridiplantae; Streptophyta; Magnoliopsida; Fabales; Fabaceae.
AUGGGAGAGCUUAGCUAUUUUCUGUUUUUGACAGUUAAGAAGUUAGGAAAAUGGCAGGUUGAUGUUAGGCAUGGUGAAUGGAAAGGUGUAUUGAAGAUAGUUUUAACAACAAGUUUGGUCAUAGAUGGUGUGGAUACAACAUAUAAACAUGGUGAAGAAAUUCAAGAGAUAAGGGCAUCAACAAUGAAGAUUACUUUGAGAUGUUAUGGAUGCUUGGAGUUUGGUUUUGGCAACCUAAAGCAUGAAGUUCAUAAGUCUAGAAACUUAGAAUUCUUAUGUUUAGGACCAAAUUCGUAA